RNAcentral lists this ribosomal RNA (736 nucleotides) under uncultured archaeon. RNAcentral's name for it is "bacterial SSU rRNA". It matches the Rfam family "Archaeal small subunit ribosomal RNA", at positions 123 to 859 of the family's 1478-position model. The record is from RNAcentral.
GGGAUAACUCUGGGAAACUGGGGAUAAUACUGGAUAUUAGGCUAUGCCUGGAAUGGUUUGCCUUUGAAAUGUUUUUUCGCCUAAGGAUAGGUCUGCGGCUGAUUAGGUCGUUGGUGGGGUAAUGGCCCACCAAGCCGAUGAUCGGUACGGGUUGUGAGAGCAAGGGCCCGGAGAUGGAACCUGAGACAAGGUUCCAGACCCUACGGGGUGCAGCAGGCGCGAAACCUCCGCAAUGUACGAAAGUGCGACGGGGGGAUCCCAAGUGUUAUGCUUUUUUGUAUGACUUUUCAUUAGUGUAAAAAGCUUUUAGAAUAAGAGCUGGGCAAGACCGGUGCCAGCCGCCGCGGUAACACCGGCAGCUCGAGUGGUAGCUGUUUUUAUUGGGCCUAAAGCGUUCGUAGCCGGUUUGAUAAGUCUUUGGUGAAAGCUUGUAGCUUAACUAUAAGAAUUGCUGGAGAUACUAUUAGACUUGAAGUCGGGAGAGGUUAGAGGUACUACCGGGGUAGGGGUGAAAUCCUAUAAUCCUGGGAGGACCACCUGUGGCGAAGGCGUCUAACUGGAACGAUCUUGACGGUGAGUAACGAAAACCAGGGGCGCGAACCGGAUUAGAUACCCGGGUAGUCCUGGCCGUAAACGAUGUGGACUUGGUGUUGGAAUGGCUUUGAGUUGUUCCGGUGCCGAAGGGAAGCUGUUAAGUCCACCGCCUGGGAAGUACGGUCGCAAGACUGAAACUUAA